UACGUAGGGUGCGAGCGUUGUCCGGAAUUAUUGGGCGUAAAGAGCUCGUAGGCGGUCUGUCGCGUCUGCUGUGAAAUCCCGAGGCUCAACCUCGGGCUUGCAGUGGGUACGGGCAGGCUAGAGUGCGGUAGAGGAGAGUGGAAUUCCUGGUGUAGCGGUGAAAUGCGCAGAUAUCAGGAAGAACACCCGUGGCGAAGGCGGCUCUCUGGGACGGUACUGACGCUGAGACGCGAAAGCGUGGGGAGCGAACAGG
This 253-nucleotide ribosomal RNA is filed under the name uncultured bacterium. RNAcentral's name for it is "partial 16S ribosomal RNA". It matches the Rfam family "Bacterial small subunit ribosomal RNA", at positions 524 to 776 of the family's 1533-position model. The record is from RNAcentral.